AAAAAGGCAAAUCCUGAGUUUCCGUGUCCAACUUUGAUUGUCCGUCUUUUAUGAAAUUUUUUUAUAAUUCGUAUUUUCAUUGUUGUUAGAUGAUAAAAUAUGAUUAAUAUUUUAUGCGUGACUUGUUUUAUUAUUUUUUUUUCAUAAUUUUUUCAAAUAAGACGGACGGUCAAACGUUGGACACGGAAACCAGGGUUUGUCUUUUU
Molecule: non-coding RNA, 206 nt
Organism: Oryza glumipatula
Lineage: Eukaryota; Viridiplantae; Streptophyta; Magnoliopsida; Poales; Poaceae
Source: Rfam